UACGUAGGUGGCAAGCGUUGUCCGGAUUUACUGGGUGUAAAGGGCGCGUAGGCGGGCUUGCAAGUCAGUUGUGAAAUACCGGGGCUUAACCCCGGGGCUGCAAUUGAAACUGUAAGUCUUGAGUGUCGGAGAGGAAAGCGGAAUUCCUAGUGUAGCGGUGAAAUGCGUAGAUAUUAGGAGGAACACCGGUGGCGAAGGCGGCUUUCUGGACGAUAACUGACGCUGAGGCGCGAAAGUGUGGGGAGCAAACAGG
This 253-nucleotide unclassified non-coding RNA is filed under the name uncultured Oscillospiraceae bacterium. Its description in RNAcentral is "contains 16S-23S intergenic spacer region". It matches the Rfam family "Bacterial small subunit ribosomal RNA", at positions 524 to 776 of the family's 1533-position model. Lineage: Bacteria; Bacillati; Bacillota; Clostridia; Eubacteriales; Oscillospiraceae. The record is from RNAcentral.